Molecule: ribosomal RNA, 202 nt
Filed under: Lactiplantibacillus plantarum
Lineage: Bacteria; Bacillati; Bacillota; Bacilli; Lactobacillales; Lactobacillaceae
Description: Lactobacillus plantarum partial 23S ribosomal RNA
Rfam family: Bacterial large subunit ribosomal RNA
Source: RNAcentral
GCCGCCAGGCGCAUCGCUGGGUAGCUACGUAUGGAUGUGAUAAACGCUGAAAGCAUCUAAGUGUGAAACACACCUCGAGAUGAGAUUUCCCAUUCCUUUAUGGAAGUAAGACCCCUGAAAGAUGAUCAGGUAGAUAGGUUAGAAGUGGCAGUGCGGUGACGCAUGAAGCGGACUAAUACUAAUCGGUCGAGGACUUAACCAA